This 498-nucleotide ribosomal RNA is filed under the name uncultured Gammaproteobacteria bacterium. RNAcentral describes it as "bacterial SSU rRNA". It matches the Rfam family "Bacterial small subunit ribosomal RNA", at positions 9 to 521 of the family's 1533-position model. Lineage: Bacteria; Pseudomonadati; Pseudomonadota; Gammaproteobacteria. The record is from RNAcentral.
GAGUUUGAUCGUGGCUCAGAGUGAACGCUGGCGGCAGGCCUAACACAUGCAAGUCGAACGGCAGCACAGCAGUAGCAAUACUGUGGGUGGCGAGUGGCGGACGGGUGAGGAAUACAUGGGAAUCUGCCCUGUCGUGGGGGAUAACGUAGGGAAACUUACGCUAAUACCGCAUACGACCGAGAGGUGAAAGCGGCGGACCGCAAGGCGUCGCGCGAUUGGAUGAGCCCAUGUCGGAUUAGCUAGUUGGCGGGGUAAAGGCCCACCAAGGCGACGAUCCGUAGCUGGUCUGAGAGGAUGAUCAGCCACACUGGGACUGAGACACGGCCCAGACUCCUACGGGAGGCAGCAGUGGGGAAUCUUGGACAAUGGGCGCAAGCCUGAUCCAGCCAUGCCGCGUGAGUGAAGAAGGCCUUAGGGUUGUAAAACUCUUUCGCCGGAGAAGAUAAUGACGGUAUCCGGAGAAGAAGCCCCGGCUAACUUCGUGCCAGCCGCCGCCGU